Molecule: long non-coding RNA, 602 nt
Organism: Bombus huntii
Lineage: Eukaryota; Metazoa; Arthropoda; Insecta; Hymenoptera; Apidae
Exons: 2
Source: RefSeq, a predicted model, not a curated record
UGCAGAUUCAACACCACGUCGCAGAACACGUAGCGCACCAGCAACAGUCGUAGGAAAUCGUCGCCGAAGAAUUGCAACACGCUGGUUUCUGCGUGGACCGAUAAAAGCGCUCGGUCAGGUCCAAGGCGGUUUCUCUCGGAGUUCUGAAUUUUGACGUUCGAGCAAUUCGAUUUAUGUUCCGAUCGGGGACGUCAGCUCGCCGGUAACUUCCAUCGUCAAAUUCGACCCUUUUGCACUUGAUAAAUUUUUAUGAACUCUCCGUUACAGGCAAAUAAACUUUCCCGAUUUCUACGAAUGUUUGCGACAAGUUUAUUUCGAUCCCGACGCAAAAGAAGUGUUGGUAACUCUUGUUCCAGAUGGAAAAACCCGGCAGGUACAUCUUUUCUAAGGUGUAUUUUUCAAUCCUCGAAAUUCAACAUUGUCCAAGUCUUAUUCAAGAAAAAACUUUCUUGUUCCUUCAUACAUAUUAUCUUCUAUCUAAAAAAUAGGAAAGAAUAAUAACUCUAAAGGCAAUUAUAUUCAUCUAAACUUUCCUCUUUUGUAUUUGUAACAUGAAAUAUGGAAUUUGUAUUAUAGGAAGUAAAAAUCACUUAUAUCUUUGA